AGAGUUUGUUUCUGUCUCAGGACGAACGCUGGCGGCGUGCCUAAUACAUGCAAGUUGAGCGCUGAAGGUUGGUACUUGUACGAACUGGAUGAGCAGCGAACGGGUGAGUAACGCGUGGGGAAUCUGCCUUUGAGCGGGGGACAACAUUUGGAAACGAAUGCUAAUACCGCAUAAAAACUUUAAACACAAGUUUUAAGUUUGAAAGAUGCAAUUGCAUCACUCAAAGAUGAUCCCGCGUUGUAUUAGCUAGUUGGUGAGGUAAAGGCUCACCAAGGCGAUGAUACAUAGCCGACCUGAGAGGGUGAUCGGCCACAUUGGGACUGAGACACGGCCCAAACUCCUACGGGAGGCAGCAGUAGGGAAUCUUCGGCAAUGGACGAAAGUCUGACCGAGCAACGCCGCGUGAGUGAAGAAGGUUUUCGGAUCGUAAAACUCUGUUGGUAGAGAAGAACGUUGGUGAGAGUGGAAAGCUCAUCAAGUGACGGUAAC
RNAcentral lists this ribosomal RNA (489 nucleotides) under Lactococcus lactis subsp. lactis. RNAcentral's name for it is "bacterial SSU rRNA". It matches the Rfam family "Bacterial small subunit ribosomal RNA", at positions 8 to 479 of the family's 1533-position model. The record is from RNAcentral. Lineage: Bacteria; Bacillati; Bacillota; Bacilli; Lactobacillales; Streptococcaceae.